AGAGUUUGAUUCUGGCUCAGGAUGAACGCUAGCGGCAGGCUUAACACAUGCAAGUCGAGGGGCAGCGGGAUGUAGCAAUACAUUGCCGGCGACCGGCGGAUGGGUGCGUAACGCGUAUGCAACCUACCUUAUACAGGGGAAUAACCUUUCGAAAGGGAGACUAACACCCCAUGGUAUUGAUUUAAGGCAUCUUAGAUUAAUUAAAUAUUUAUAGGUAUAAGAUGGGCAUGCGUAUGAUUAGCUAGUUGGUAAGGUAACGGCUUACCAAGGCGACGAUCAUUAGGGGUUCUGAGAGGAAGGUCCCCCACACUGGUACUGAGACACGGACCAGACUCCUACGGGAGGCAGCAGUGAGGAAUAUUGGUCAAUGGGCGCAAGCCUGAACCAGCCAUGCCGCGUGCAAGGAAGACGGCCUUAUGGGUUGUAAACUGCUUUUACAUAAGACUAACCGUAUAUUUGCGAAUAUACCUGAAUGUAUUAUGAGAAUAAGGAUCGGCUAACUCCGUGCCAGCCGCCGC
This 518-nucleotide ribosomal RNA is filed under the name uncultured bacterium. RNAcentral describes it as "bacterial SSU rRNA". It matches the Rfam family "Bacterial small subunit ribosomal RNA", at positions 8 to 518 of the family's 1533-position model. The record is from RNAcentral.